GCUCAGGAUGAACGCGGGCGGCGUGCCUAAUACAUGCAAGUCGAGCGAACAGAUAAGGAGCUUGCUCCUUUGACGUAGCGGCGGACGGGUGAGUAACACGUGGAUAACCUACCUAUAAGACUGGGAUAACUUCGGGAAACCGGAGCUAAUACCGGAUAACAUAUUGAACCGCAUGGUUCAAUAGUGAAAGGCGGCUUUGCUGUCACUUAUAGAUGGAUCCGCGCCGUAUUAGCUAGUUGGUAAGGUAACGGCUUACCAAGGCAACGAUACGUAGCCGACCUGAGAGGGUGAUCGGCCACACUGGAACUGAGACACGGUCCAGACUCCUACGGGAGGCAGCAGUAGGGAAUCUUCCGCAAUGGGCGAAAGCCUGACGGAGCAACGCCGCGUGAGUGAUGAAGGUCUUCGGAUCGUAAAACUCUGUUAUCAGGGAAGAACAAAUGUGUAAGUAACUGUGCACAUCUUGACGGUACCUGAUCAGAAAGCCACGGCUAACUACGUGCCAGCAGCCGCGGUAAUACGUAGGUGGCAAGCGUUAUCCGGAAUUAUUGGGCGUAAAGCGCGCGUAGGCGGUUUUUUAAGUCUGAUGUGAAAGCCCACGGCUCAACCGUGGAGGGUCAUUGGAAACUGGAAAACUGAAAGCCCACGGCUCAACCGUGGAGGGUCAUUGGAAACUGGAAAACUUGAGUGCAGAAGAGGAAAGUGGCACUUCCAUGUGUAGCGGUGAAAUGCGCAGAGAUAUGGAGGAACACCAGUGGCGAGGGCGACUUUCUGGUCUGUAACUGACGCUGAUGUGCGAAAGCGUGGGGAUCAAACAGGAUUAGAUACCCUGGUAGUCCACGCGUAAACGAUGAGUGCUAAGUGUUAGGGGGUUUCCGCCCCUUAGUGCUGCAGCUAACGCAUUAAGCACUCCGCCUGGGGAGUACGACCGCAAGGUUGAAACUCAAAGGAAUUGACGGGGACCCGCACAAGCGGUGGAGCAUGUGGUUUAAUUCGAAGCAACGCGAAGAACCUUACCAAAUCUUGACAUCCUUUGACCGCUCUAGAGAUAGAGUCUUCCCCUUCGGGGGACAAAGUGACAGGUGGUGCAUGGUUGUCGUCAGCUCGUGUCGUGAGAUGUUGGGUUAAGUCCCGCAACGAGCGCAACCCUUAAGCUUAGUUGCCAUCAUUAAGUUGGGCACUCUAAGUUGACUGCCGGUGACAAACCGGAGGAAGGUGGGGAUGACGUCAAAUCAUCAUGCCCCUUAUGAUUUGGGCUACACACGUGCUACAAUGGACAAUACAAAGGGCAGCUAAACCGCGAGGUCAAGCAAAUCCCAUAAAGUUGUUCUCAGUUCGGAUUGUAGUCUGCAACUCGACUACAUGAAGCUGGAAUCGCUAGUAAUCGUAGAUCAGCAUGCUACGGUGAAUACGUUCCCGGGUCUUGUACACACCGCCCGUCACACCACGAGAGUUUGUAACACCCGAAGCCGGUGGAGUAACCAUUUAUGGAG
RNAcentral lists this ribosomal RNA (1493 nucleotides) under Staphylococcus warneri. RNAcentral describes it as "16S ribosomal RNA". It matches the Rfam family "Bacterial small subunit ribosomal RNA". Lineage: Bacteria; Bacillati; Bacillota; Bacilli; Caryophanales; Staphylococcaceae. The record is from RNAcentral.